AUAUUGCACAAUGGGCGAAAGCCUGAUGCAGACACGCCGCAUGAGUGAUGAAGUCNCUNNGUUCGNANAGCUAUUUGACCUGGNNNNNAAAUGCCAGUAACUGUAAAACAAGCCACGGCUAACUACGUGCCAGCAGCCGCGGUAAUACGUAGGUGGCGAGCGUUGUCCGGAAUUACUGGGCGUAAAGGAUGCGUAGGUGGAUAUUUAAGUGGGAUGCGAAAUCCCCGGGCUCAACCCGGGAACUGCAUUCCAAACUGGGUAUCUAGAGUGCAGGAGAGGAAAGCGGAAUUCCUAGUGUAGCGGUGAAAUGCGUAGAUAUUAGGAGGAACACCAGUGGCGAAGGCGGCUUUCUGGACUGUAACUGACACUGAGGCAUGAAAGCGUGGGUAGCAAACAGG
This 398-nucleotide ribosomal RNA is filed under the name uncultured bacterium. RNAcentral's name for it is "partial 16S ribosomal RNA". It matches the Rfam family "Bacterial small subunit ribosomal RNA", at positions 361 to 776 of the family's 1533-position model. The record is from RNAcentral.